Molecule: ribosomal RNA, 425 nt
Filed under: uncultured bacterium
Lineage: Bacteria
Description: partial 16S ribosomal RNA
Rfam family: Bacterial small subunit ribosomal RNA
Source: RNAcentral
GUGGGGAAUCUUAGACAAUGGGGGAAACCCUGAUCUAGCCAUGCCGCGUGAGCGAUGAAGGCCUUAGGGUUGUAAAGCUCUUUCAGCUGGGAAGAUAAUGACGGUACCAGCAGAAGAAGCCCCGGCUAACUCCGUGCCAGCAGCCGCGGUAAUACGGAGGGGGCUAGCGUUGUUCGGAAUUACUGGGCGUAAAGCGCACGUAGGCGGAUCAGAAAGUCAGAGGUGAAAUCCCAGGGCUCAACCUUGGAACUGCCUUUGAAACUCCUGAUCUUGAGGUCGAGAGAGGUGAGUGGAAUUCCGAGUGUAGAGGUGAAAUUCGUAGAUAUUCGGAGGAACACCAGUGGCGAAGGCGGCUCACUGGCUCGAUACUGACGCUGAGGUGCGAAAGCGUGGGGAGCAAACAGGAUUAGAAACCCCAGUAGUCC